Molecule: transfer RNA, 77 nt
Filed under: Chloroflexota bacterium
Lineage: Bacteria; Bacillati; Chloroflexota
Also listed under: 1 other name
Description: tRNA-Lys
Rfam family: tRNA
About the family: Transfer RNA (tRNA) molecules are approximately 80 nucleotides in length. Their secondary structure includes four short double-helical elements and three loops (D, anti-codon, and T loops).
Source: RNAcentral
GGGCCCUUAGCUCAGCCCGGCAGAGCAACUGACUUUUAAUCAGUAGGUCCAGGGUUCGAAUCCCUGAGGGCCCACCA